GAUGAACGCUAGCGGCAGGCUUAACACAUGCAAGUCGAGGGGUAGAAGGAGCUUGCUCCUUUGAGACCGGCGCACGGGUGCGUAACGCGUAUGCAAUCUACCUUUUGCAGAGGGAUAGCCCAGAGAAAUUUGGAUUAAUACCUCAUAGUAUGUGAGGAUGGCAUCAUUUUCACAUUAAAGUCACAACGGCAAAAGAUGAGCAUGCGUCCCAUUAGCUAGUUGGUAGGGUAACGGCUUACCAAGGCUACGAUGGGUAGGGGUCCUGAGAGGGAGAUCCCCCCACACUGGUACUGAGACACGGACCAGACUCCUACGGGAGGCAGCAGUGAGGAAUAUUGGACAAUGGGCGCAAGCCUGAUCCAGCCAUGCCGCGUGCAGGAUGACGGUCCUAUGGAUUGUAAACUGCUUUUGUACAGGAAGAAACACUACUUCGUGAAGUAGCUUGACGGUACUGUAAGAAUAA
RNAcentral lists this ribosomal RNA (463 nucleotides) under uncultured bacterium. RNAcentral describes it as "bacterial SSU rRNA". It matches the Rfam family "Bacterial small subunit ribosomal RNA", at positions 28 to 489 of the family's 1533-position model. The record is from RNAcentral.